ACGGGUGAGUAACACGUAUCCAACCUGCCGUCUACUCUUGGACAGCCUUCUGAAAGGGAGAUUAAUACAAGAUGGCAUCAUGAGUCCGCAUGUUCACAUGAUUAAAGGUAUUCCGGUAGACGAUGGGAUGCGUUCCAUUAGAUAGUAGGCGGGGUAACGGCCCACCUAGUCUUCGAUGGAUAGGGGUUCUGAGAGGAAGGUCCCCCACAUUGGAACUGAGACACGGUCCAA
RNAcentral lists this ribosomal RNA (231 nucleotides) under uncultured bacterium. RNAcentral's name for it is "partial 16S ribosomal RNA". It matches the Rfam family "Bacterial small subunit ribosomal RNA", at positions 102 to 334 of the family's 1533-position model. The record is from RNAcentral.